AGGAUUAACGCUGGCGGCGUGCCUAACACAUGCAAGUCGAACGAGGUAGCAAUACCUAGUGGCAGACGGGUGAGUAACGCGUGGUCAACCUACCGUUGAGUGGGGGAUAACUAGCCGAAAGGUUAGCUAAUACCGCAUACGAGUCUCGGGGGCAUCCCUGGGCCUUAAAAGGAGCAAUCCGCUCGAUGACGGGACCGCGUCCCAUUAGCUAGAUGGUGGGGUAAUGGCCUACCAUGGCUCCGAUGGGUAGCUGGUUUGAGAGAGCGACCAGCCACACUGGGACUGAGAAACGGCCCAGACUCCUACGGGAGGCAGCAGUGAGGAAUUUUCCGCAAUGGGCGAAAGCCUGACGGAGCGACGCCGCGUGUGGGAAGAAGGCCUUCGGGUCGUAAACCACGUGUCGAAGGGGACGAGUAAUGACGGUACCUUGGAGGAAGCCCGGCUAACUACGCGCCAGCAGGCCGC
RNAcentral lists this ribosomal RNA (465 nucleotides) under uncultured bacterium. RNAcentral's name for it is "SSU rRNA". It matches the Rfam family "Bacterial small subunit ribosomal RNA", at positions 26 to 518 of the family's 1533-position model. The record is from RNAcentral.